UUUCCGUAGGUGAACCUGCGGAAGGAUCAUUCAUAAUAAAGUGUUUUAUGGCACUUUUUAAAAAUCCAUAUCCACCUUGUGUGCAAUGUUAGAUCUCGUCAAUCUUGGCGAGAUUUUUAUACAUCAACUCAUUCUUUAGCUAAUUUGUCUGAAAAAUAUUAUGAAUACUUAAUUCAAAAUACAACUUUCAACAACGGAUCUCUUGGCUCUC
Molecule: unclassified non-coding RNA, 211 nt
Filed under: plant metagenome
Description: partial contains small subunit ribosomal RNA, internal transcribed spacer 1, and 5.8S ribosomal RNA
Source: RNAcentral